Molecule: non-coding RNA, 168 nt
Submitted as: unclassified sequences
Source: Rfam
CUUGAAAGCUGAUUGUGCUGUUUCUUAUACUUUCCCUCUAUAUACAGAUAGGCGGGUACAAGGAUGUACCCGCCAGUGAGGCCGUGCCAAGGAGGGCACGUCCGAACGAUAUUGUCCGGUAACAAUACCAAUAAGGAAAGUAUUAGAAACAGCCAAUCUGCUUUCUGG